CCUACGGGAGGCAGCAGUGGGGAAUCUUCCGCAAUGGACGAAAGUCUGACGGAGCAACGCCGCGUGAGUGAUGACGGCCUUCGGGUUGUAAAGCUCUGUUAAUCGGGACGAAUGGUUCUUGUGCAAAUAGUGCGAGGAUUUGACGGUACCGGAAUAGAAAGCCACGGCUAACUACGUGCCAGCAGCCGCGGUAAUACGUAGGUGGCAAGCGUUGUCCGGAAUUAUUGGGCGUAAAGCGCGCGCAGGCGGAUUGGUCAGUCUGUCUUAAAAGUUCGGGGCUUAACCCCGUGAUGGGAUGGAAACUGCCAAUCUAGAGUAUCGGAGAGGAAAGUGGAAUUCCUAGUGUAGCGGUGAAAUGCGUAGAUAUUAGGAAGAACACCAGUGGCGAAGGCGACUUUCUGGACGAAAACUGACGCUGAGGCGCGAAAGCCAGGGGAGCGAACGGGAUUAGAUACCCCAGUAGUC
This 465-nucleotide ribosomal RNA is filed under the name uncultured Veillonella sp. RNAcentral describes it as "bacterial SSU rRNA". It matches the Rfam family "Bacterial small subunit ribosomal RNA", at positions 338 to 795 of the family's 1533-position model. The record is from RNAcentral. Lineage: Bacteria; Bacillati; Bacillota; Negativicutes; Veillonellales; Veillonellaceae.